Molecule: ribosomal RNA, 1046 nt
Filed under: Campylobacter jejuni
Lineage: Bacteria; Pseudomonadati; Campylobacterota; Epsilonproteobacteria; Campylobacterales; Campylobacteraceae
Description: partial 23S ribosomal RNA
Rfam family: Bacterial large subunit ribosomal RNA
Source: RNAcentral
AAAGGUAAGCUACUAAGAGCGAAUGGUGGAUGCCUUGACUGGUAAAGGCGAUGAAGGACGUACUAGACUGCGAUAAGCUACGGGGAGCUGUCAAGAAGCUUUGAUCCGUAGAUUUCCGAAUGGGGCAACCCAAUGUAUAGAGAUAUACAUUACCUAUAUAGGAGCGAACGAGGGGAAUUGAAACAUCUUAGUACCCUCAGGAAAAGAAAUCAAUAGAGAUUGCGUCAGUAGCGGCGAGCGAAAGCGCAAGAGGGCAAACCCAGUGCUUGCACUGGGGGUUGUAGGACUGCAAUAUGCAAGAGGUAAGUUUAGCAGAACAUUCUGGAAAGUAUAACCAUAGAGGGUGAUAGUCCCGUAUGCGAAAAACAAACCUUAGCUAGCAGUAUCCUGAGUAGGGCGGGACACGAGGAAUCCUGUCUGAAUCCGGGUCGACCACGAUCCAACCCUAAAUACUAAUACCAGAUCGAUAGUGCACAAGUACCGUGAGGGAAAGGUGAAAAGAACUGAGGUGAUCAGAGUGAAAUAGAACCUGAAACCAUUUGCUUACAAUCAUUCAGAGCCCUAUGUAGCAAUACAGGGUGAUGGACUGCCUUUUGCAUAAUGAGCCUGCGAGUUGUGGUGUCUGGCAAGGUUAAGCAAACGCGAAGCCGUAGCGAAAGCGAGUCUGAAUAGGGCGCUUAGUCAGAUGCUGCAGACCCGAAACGAAGUGAUCUAUCCAUGAGCAAGUUGAAGCUAGUGUAAGAACUAGUGGAGGACUGAACCCAUAGGCGUUGAAAAGCCCCGGGAUGACUUGUGGAUAGGGGUGAAAGGCCAAUCAAACUUCGUGAUAGCUGGUUCUCUCCGAAAUAUAUUUAGGUAUAGCGUUGUGUCGUAAUAUAAGGGGGUAGAGCACUGAAUGGGCUAGGGCAUACACCAAUGUACCAAACCCUAUCAAACUCCGAAUACCUUAUAUGUAAUCACAGCAGUCAGGCGGCGAGUGAUAAAAUCCGUCGUCAAGAGGGAAACAACCCAGACUACCAGCUAAGGUCCCUAAGUCUUACUUAAGU